This 103-nucleotide microRNA precursor is filed under the name Marmota monax (woodchuck). The record is from RNAcentral. Lineage: Eukaryota; Metazoa; Chordata; Mammalia; Rodentia; Sciuridae.
AGAGGGAUAGCUGGGUCAAAUGGUGGUUCCAUUCCCAGAUUUCCAAGGAAUCUCCAUAAUGCUUUCCAUAUUGGCUGUACCAAUUUGCAGUCCCAUCAGCAAU